Molecule: ribosomal RNA, 497 nt
Filed under: uncultured bacterium
Lineage: Bacteria
Description: partial 16S ribosomal RNA
Rfam family: Bacterial small subunit ribosomal RNA
Source: RNAcentral
GAUGAACGCUGGCGGCGUGCCUAAUACAUGCAAGUCGAGCGAACAGAUAAGGAGCUUGCUCCUUUGACGUUAGCGGCGGACGGGUGAGUAACACGUUGGGAACCUACUUAUAAGACUGGAAUAACUCCGGGAAACCGGGGCUAAUGCCGGAUAACAUUUAGAACCGCAUGGUUCUACAGUGAAAGAUGGUUUUGCUAUCACUGAUAGAUGGACCCGCGCCGUAUUAGCUAGUUGGUAAGGUAACGGCUUAACAAGGCAACGAUACGUAGCCGACCUGAGAGGGUGAAUCGCCAGACUGGAAGUGAGAAACGUUCCAGACACCUACGGGGGGACGCAGUAGGGAAUCCUACGCGAUGGGGGAAAGCGUGACGGUGGAAAGCCGCGGGAGUGAUGAAGGACCUAGGAUCGGAAAGCGAUGUUAGUAGGGAAGAACAAAUGUGUAAGUAACUGUGCACGUCUUGACGGUACCUAAUCAGAAAGCCACGGCUAACUACGUG